Molecule: ribosomal RNA, 434 nt
Filed under: uncultured Alphaproteobacteria bacterium
Lineage: Bacteria; Pseudomonadati; Pseudomonadota; Alphaproteobacteria
Description: bacterial SSU rRNA
Rfam family: Bacterial small subunit ribosomal RNA
Source: RNAcentral
GAGUUUGAUCUUGGCUCAGAACGAACGCUGGCGGCAUGCCUAAUACAUGCAAGUCGAACGAGAUCUUCGGAUCUAGUGGCGCACGGGUGCGUAACGCGUGGGAAUCUACCCUUGGGUUCGGAAUAACAGUUGGAAACGACUGCUAAUACCGGAUGAUGACGUAAGUCCAAAGAUUUAUCGCCCAAGGAUGAGCCCGCGUAGGAUUAGCUAGUUGGUGGGGUAAAGGCCUACCAAGGCGACGAUCCUUAGCUGGUCUGAGAGGAUGAUCAGCCACACUGGGACUGAGACACGGCCCAGACUCCUACGGGAGGCAGCAGUAGGGAAUAUUGGACAAUGGGCGAAAGCCUGAUCCAGCAAUGCCGCGUGAGCGAUGAAGGCCUUAGGGUUGUAAGCUCUUUUACCCGGGAUGAUAAUGACAGUACCGGGAGAAUAAG